CCUACGGGAGGCAGCAGUGAGGAAUAUUGGUCAAUGGGCGAGAGCCUGAACCAGCCAAGUCGCGUGAGGGAGUACUGCCCUAUGGGUUGUAAACCUCUUUUGCCGGGGAGCAAAAGCCGGACGUGUCCGGCUGUGAGAGUACCCGAAGAAAAAGCAUCGGUUAACUCCGUGCCAGCAGCCGCGGUAAUAUGGAGGAUGCGAGCGUUAUCCGGAUUUAUUGGGGUAAAAGGGUGCGCAGGCGGAUUUUUAAGCCAGCGGUCAAAUCGUGGGGCGUAACCCCAUCCAGCCGUUGAAACUGGGGAUCUAGAGUGUGCGAGAGGUAUGCGGAAUGCGUGGUGUAGCGGUGAAAUGCAUAGAUAUCACGCAGAACCCCGAUUGCGAAGGCAGCAUACCGGUGCACAACUGACGCUCAGGCACGAAAGCGUGGGUAUCGAACAGGAUUAGAUACCCGGGUAGUC
RNAcentral lists this ribosomal RNA (458 nucleotides) under uncultured bacterium. RNAcentral describes it as "partial 16S ribosomal RNA". It matches the Rfam family "Bacterial small subunit ribosomal RNA", at positions 338 to 795 of the family's 1533-position model. The record is from RNAcentral.